This is a long non-coding RNA of Etheostoma cragini (Arkansas darter), 361 nucleotides long. RefSeq lists it as uncharacterized. Lineage: Eukaryota; Metazoa; Chordata; Actinopteri; Perciformes; Percidae. The transcript has 3 exons. The record is from RefSeq and is a predicted model, not a curated record.
CCAUUAACAUGAGGCUGUUGUACAAGGGGCCACCUGCUCAUCAGAAAAGCACACACCAGGGCCAGGGAUUGAACCACCAACCUUCCAAUUGACAGGUAACCACUCUACACUGAGCCACAGCCACCCUGUAUGAAAUAUGAUAUGCUUAAAAUAUACUCGAGUUUAAAAUCUUGUUUGAAAAAUAGACUUAAGUAUUGUUAUGAUUUCUUCCCAACUAAUGUUCUUAGAAACAAAGCCAUUAUACAACAAUUAACACUUCGUUUUACACCUUUCAUACACAGUGGGAAUUUAACGUGUUUGAUAUAAGGCAAAGAAAUGCAUUCAUUUACAAAAGAAUUGGAUGUAAAUUCUAGACCCAAAA